ACUCCUACGGGAGGCAGCAGUGGGGAAUAAUGGACAAUGGGCGAAAGCCUGAUCCUGCUACACCGCGUGAAUGAAGAAGGCCUUAGGGUUGUAAAAUUCUUUUAGUGGGGAAGAUAAUGACGGUACCCACAGAAAUAGCACCGGCUAACUUCGUGCCAGCAGC
Molecule: ribosomal RNA, 163 nt
Filed under: uncultured bacterium
Lineage: Bacteria
Description: partial 16S ribosomal RNA
Rfam family: Bacterial small subunit ribosomal RNA
Source: RNAcentral